ACAUCAACACCGUUAGAAGAGACAUCAAAUAAUCCAACAGGAGGUAGUGACUGAAUUUCUCUCUGAAUGUCAGACUGACAGUUGAAUCUUUGUGGGAAAAUUCAGGAUUAUGUUUAACUUAUAUUAAUAAUAUUUUCAGUUCAGUCAUGGUUUAUCAUCGUUCCUGUGGGUUUAGCAGCACUGUUAGUUGUUGUGGUGAUCAUCAUAUGGAAGAAAACUAAAGGUGAGAAGACUCACAGAUUAAAGUUGAUCAUAAAUGGAAAUAAGGAAG
Oreochromis aureus is the source of this 271-nucleotide long non-coding RNA. Lineage: Eukaryota; Metazoa; Chordata; Actinopteri; Cichliformes; Cichlidae. The record is from Ensembl.